UGCUCUCUAGCUUAAUUGGUAAAGCGCCGCACUGUUAAUGCGGAACAUCGGGGUUCGACUCCCCGGGGAGCAG
RNAcentral lists this transfer RNA (73 nucleotides) under Chloroflexota bacterium. RNAcentral's name for it is "Chloroflexi bacterium (groundwater metagenome) tRNA-Asn". It matches the Rfam family "tRNA". From Rfam's summary of the family: Transfer RNA (tRNA) molecules are approximately 80 nucleotides in length. Their secondary structure includes four short double-helical elements and three loops (D, anti-codon, and T loops). Further hydrogen bonds mediate the characteristic L-shaped molecular structure. tRNAs have two regions of fundamental functional importance: the anti-codon, which is responsible for specific mRNA codon recognition, and the 3' end, to which the tRNAs corresponding amino acid is attached (by aminoacyl-tRNA synthetases). tRNAs cope with the degeneracy of the genetic code in two manners: having more than one tRNA (with a specific anti-codon) for a particular amino acid; and 'wobble' base-pairing, i.e. permitting non-standard base-pairing at the 3rd anti-codon position. Lineage: Bacteria; Bacillati; Chloroflexota. The record is from RNAcentral.